RNAcentral lists this ribosomal RNA (497 nucleotides) under uncultured bacterium. RNAcentral describes it as "partial 16S ribosomal RNA". It matches the Rfam family "Bacterial small subunit ribosomal RNA", at positions 28 to 507 of the family's 1533-position model. The record is from RNAcentral.
GAUGAACGCUGGCGGCGUGCCUAAUACAUGCAAGUCGAGCGAACGGACGAGAAGCUUGCUUCUCUGAUGUUAGCGGCGGACGGGUGAGUAACACGUGGAUAACCUACCUAUAAGACUGGGAUAACUUCGGGAAACCGGAGCUAAUACCGGAUAAUAUUUUGAACCGCAUGGUUCAAAAGUGAAAGACGGUCUUGCUGUCACUUAUAGAUGGAUCCGCGCUGCAUUAGCUAGUUGGUAAGGUAACGGCUUACCAAGGCAACUAUGCAUAGCCGACCUGAGAGGGUGAUCGGCCGCACUGGAACUGAGACACGGUCCAGACUCCUACGGGAGGCAGCAGUAGGGAAUCUUCCGCAAUGGGCGAAAGCCUGACGGAGCAACGCCGCGUGAGUGAUGAAGGUCUUCGGAUCGUAAAACUCUGUUAUUAGGGAAGAACAUAUGUGUAAGUAACUGUGCACAUCUUGACGGUACCUAAUCAGAAAGCCACGGCUAACUACGUG